UUAAAAGAUUUUGAAAAGCAGAGUAACUAUUUUUAUUUAGCACAGAGAGUUAUCGCUUGGUGAAAGAUAACCUAAAGAAAUUUAGUGAAGAUGGGCUUGGAUAUCAGUGCUAGUGAUAUUUAGCUAGCAACGGCGUUGUAAACCGUUAUUCUUUACAAACUAUUUUUAGUAGUUAAUGAGGUCUAGUAUGUAAAUAUUAGAUGAAUUAAAGGUGGUAACACGAAGCAUUCGUCCUUUUC
Molecule: non-coding RNA, 239 nt
Filed under: Lactobacillus kalixensis
Lineage: Bacteria; Bacillati; Bacillota; Bacilli; Lactobacillales; Lactobacillaceae
Description: T-box sequence
Rfam family: T-box leader
About the family: Uncharged tRNA acts as the effector for transcription antitermination of genes in the T-box leader family. T-boxes are found upstream of many aminoacyl-tRNA synthetase genes and some amino acid biosynthetic genes usually in Gram-positive bacteria.
Source: RNAcentral